This 489-nucleotide ribosomal RNA is filed under the name uncultured bacterium. RNAcentral describes it as "bacterial SSU rRNA". It matches the Rfam family "Bacterial small subunit ribosomal RNA", at positions 903 to 1397 of the family's 1533-position model. The record is from RNAcentral.
AAAUGAAUAGACGGGGGCCCGCACAAGCAGCGGAGCAUGUGGCUUAAUUCGAAGCAACGCGAAGAACCUUACCAGGGCUUGACAUUCAGGUGAAGCGGGGGAAACCUCGUGGCCGAGAGGAGCCUGAACAGGUGGUGCAUGGCUGUCGUCAGCUCGUGUCGUGAGAUGUUGGGUUAAGUCCCGCAACGAGCGCAACCCUCGUCGCAUGUUGCCAGCGGUCCGGCCGGGCACCCAUGCGAGACCGCCGGCGUCAAGCCGGAGGAAGGUGGGGACGACGUCAAGUCAUCAUGCCCCUUAUGUCCUGGGCUGCACACGUGCUACAAUGGCAUGAACAAUGGGCUGCCACUGCGCGAGCAGGAGCGAAUCCCCAAAUCAUGCCCCAGUUCGGAUUGGAGGCUGCAACCCGCCUCCAUGAAGUCGGAGUUGCUAGUAAUCGCGGAUCAGCACGCCGCGGUGAAUGCGUUCCCGGGCCUUGUACACACCGCCCGU